UUCACUCCUUUCAAAACCUUCAAAACAACGAAACUAUCUCCAAUCUCCAGAACUGACACACUGGUUGCGAUUUAAGAGUCUUAAAAUAUGGUUCAAGUCGUGAAUUCAUUUGAACUAUUUCAAUUCAAUACUUCUUCUUUCUUCGGAGUUAUCCCAAAACCAUUCAUUUCCUUUCAACCACAAACUACAAGUUUAAUUAAAAAAUCAUUAGUGACUAAAGCCAAGGCGAAUGCAAGAAAAGAAAGUGCUAAAAUUCGAAACAGGAAGAUGCAGAAAAAGUUUAAUGGUACUGCCACACAUCCAAGGCUUUCAGUAUUUUGCUCAGAUAAGCAAUUGUAUGCAAUGCUUGUAGAUGAUCAAAAUAAAAAGUGCUUAUUCUAUGGAAGCACACUGCAGAAAUUGUUCCGAGAAAAUCCUCCCUGCAGCACUAUUGAAGCUGCUCAACGUGUUGGGGAGGCACUUGUGAAAGCCUGUGUUGAUCUAAACAUAAAUGAAAUAUCAUCCUAUGAUCGCAAUGGCUUUGGUCGUGGAGAAAGGUUAAACGCCUUUGAGAUUGCCAUUUCCAAUUUUGGGUUCUUGCCUAGAUAGAACAAAUGAACAAUUGAAGAAUCUUAUAACUCUAAAGUUUGUACGAAUAGAACAAGAAAAGUUUGUUAUAACCAUUUGAUAUAAAACUCCCAAAGCCUGAGGUGAAGUGAUUGCAUGAAGAAAUGUCCAGGGUCGUUUAAUUGAAGAUGACAAACCAGUUGUUGACUCGCGGGCUGAUGUAAAACUAGCACCAUGCAUGGUCUGUAUAAGUUUAUAACACAUGGGAAUGGAUAUUAUAUCAUGAUUCAAGAAGUCUUUUAGACAGACCUCUUCUUAAGAAGUAUUAUGAGAGAUAAACAAUUGUAGAUGACCAAAACAAGAAAUGUUUAUUCUAUGGAAGAAGACUGUACGAAUCGUUCGGAGAAAAUCCUUCCUGUAGAACAGUUGUAACUUGUAAGUAGUCCACCUCAUUUAAGAGAAAUAUAUAUGAGACAGGGAAAACAGUGUUUGGCUAUGCUUAGGAUUUUUCCCGACAUGAAUCCAGGAUGAUGCUCAACGUGCCGGGGAGGUACUUGUCAAAGCAUGUUUUGAUCUCAACACACGCAAUGACUUUGGUCGCGGAGAAAGUUUAAACGCCUUUUAGAUUGCCAUUUCCAAUUAUGAUUUCUUGCCUAGAUAGGUAAGCAACUGAUAGUGAUGCUCUCUUGUCAAACACAUAUGAAGUAUCCUAUGUAAAAGUCAACCUUAUUGGGACUGGAAGACAUAUAGCAAGUUGCAAUAUUGGUUCAUAGAUCAUUAAAAAUAAGAACUCUGGAAAAUUCAGGCUUCCAACGAUAUUGACUUGAUGAGUUUUGAAAAUGGGAUGGUAUUUCAACAUCAGAUAAUAUCACAAUUAAGUGAAACUUGCAUAAGUUGAAGGAAGGGGAAGACUUGAACAAACCAACAGUUGAAGAAUCUUAUAACUCAUAAAACUUUGUACUGCCAGUAGAAGCAAAGUUUGGAUGCAACCAUUUGAUGAAAUUCCCAAAAUUUGGAAUUCACCUAAUUGGAUGUUGGCUCAAGGUCUGAGACAGACGCAAAACCAGAAACCAUACACAGCCUGUAUAACAUAUGGGCAAUGAACAAAAUACAAAAUUCAAUGGAAUCGUUGCGGAAGUUCUAAGAGAAUUUACAUGAAGAAUAUUUGACUUGAUAUGUAUUAGAAACAAAGAUUGAUCCUUCUAAUUGUUAUGUAAGAAAAACAUUUAUCCUAAAAGAGUGUUAUUUACAUGUUAACAUUUUUCCUUAAGCUGAUAAACUAAUAUCAUCAUGCCCGAUGUUGAAAU
Molecule: RNA transcript, 1853 nt
Organism: Medicago truncatula (barrel medic)
Lineage: Eukaryota; Viridiplantae; Streptophyta; Magnoliopsida; Fabales; Fabaceae
Gene name: 50S ribosomal protein L18
Exons: 7
Source: RefSeq, a predicted model, not a curated record